RNAcentral lists this small RNA (37 nucleotides) under Arabidopsis thaliana (thale cress). Its description in RNAcentral is "ATSL225090". Lineage: Eukaryota; Viridiplantae; Streptophyta; Magnoliopsida; Brassicales; Brassicaceae. The record is from RNAcentral.
UUAUCGAAGGCCUCUCUGUCGGCGAGCUUCAGCUUCA